RNAcentral lists this transfer RNA (73 nucleotides) under Butyrivibrio sp. RNAcentral's name for it is "tRNA-Glu". It matches the Rfam family "tRNA". From Rfam's summary of the family: Transfer RNA (tRNA) molecules are approximately 80 nucleotides in length. Their secondary structure includes four short double-helical elements and three loops (D, anti-codon, and T loops). Lineage: Bacteria; Bacillati; Bacillota; Clostridia; Lachnospirales; Lachnospiraceae. RNAcentral also lists the same sequence under 1 other name. The record is from RNAcentral.
GCCUCCUUAGUCUAAAGGUCAGGACAUUGGCCUCUCAAGCCAGGGAUGUUCGGUUCAAGUCCGACAGGAGGUA